Molecule: unclassified non-coding RNA, 552 nt
Filed under: Penicillium camemberti
Lineage: Eukaryota; Fungi; Ascomycota; Eurotiomycetes; Eurotiales; Aspergillaceae
Description: sequence contains 18S rRNA gene, ITS1, 5.8S rRNA gene, ITS2, 28S rRNA gene
Rfam family: 5.8S ribosomal RNA (bases 185-337)
Source: RNAcentral
GAUCAUUACCGAGUGAGGGCCCUCUGGGUCCAACCUCCCACCCGUGUUUAUUUUACCUUGUUGCUUCGGCGGGCCCGCCUUAACUGGCCGCCGGGGGGCUCACGCCCCCGGGCCCGCGCCCGCCGAAGACACCCUCGAACUCUGUCUGAAGAUUGAAGUCUGAGUGAAAAUAUAAAUUAUUUAAAACUUUCAACAACGGAUCUCUUGGUUCCGGCAUCGAUGAAGAACGCAGCGAAAUGCGAUACGUAAUGUGAAUUGCAAAUUCAGUGAAUCAUCGAGUCUUUGAACGCACAUUGCGCCCCCUGGUAUUCCGGGGGGCAUGCCUGUCCGAGCGUCAUUGCUGCCCUCAAGCCCGGCUUGUGUGUUGGGCCCCGUCCUCCGAUCUCCGGGGGACGGGCCCGAAAGGCAGCGGCGGCACCGCGUCCGGUCCUCGAGCGUAUGGGGCUUUGUCACCCGCUCUGUAGGCCCGGCCGGCGCUUGCCGAUCAACCCAAAUUUUUAUCCAGGUUGACCUCGGAUCAGGUAGGGAUACCCGCUGAACUUAAGCAUAUCA